CUCAACAGAGGCUGGAGGAGGCAGAAGCUGCAUCUCUUUUUGUUCAGCAAUUUGUUGCUUUUGUCUACCAAGUGCAGGAAAUCCUUUAAGAUAAAAAAUAAAAUAGUGCUGAACAACCUGUGGACAGCUAGCUAUGUGGACAAAGUGGGGAAUGGCCACAUCUCUACUGGGAGGUCCCUUCUCUUGGGCUGGCCCAUGGCGAACUUCGUGGCCACAUUUUGGGCUCUGAAGAUUACCAGCUGUGGGUCACUUCUGGCAUGAAAAAGGCCCCAUGUCCACUCAUUGGGCACAAGCAUUCUUACAGAAUUAAAAUGAGCCAUCCUCAAGCCAUUAUGCUCCUGCCACAGGGACAGUGAACUCCAUCUCUCCUUCCAUCUUUCAGGAGCCCUUCUUUUGGCAGGGGUCUAACACUUGCCAGGACAACCUAUGCAUGACUCUACCAGCCUUAAAGCUAGGCCAGCUCUUUGGAGCUUCUCUCACAGAUGUUUGUGAGAAUGACAACAUACCCACCCCUCUCUGGAUAUGCCUUUUUAAAAAGCAACCAAAAAGGGCCACUCAACAGAAGGUAUCUUCAGAAAAUUGGCAAAUAUAAAAUCAUAUCGAGCCCUAAAGGAGAAACUAAAUUCUGCAGAUAAAGUGAACUUGGACAAUUUGAGUCCAUUCUUCUGGAAACAUCAUUCUUAAAUGAAAGAAUAUCCAAGGAAGUAUAUUUUCAUCCAGUCUCUAUGAUGAAUGGCUUGGUGUAUUCAUCAAGGGAAUGAAGAGGAGAAAAUAAUUGCUAUCCAGAGGCUUUUAGACCAGCUGCCAAUGUUGUUCUCUUGAGAUACCUUUUUGGAGUGUACACACUGAAUAUUCCUCAUCCAAUCAGAUAAAAGCUUAUAAUUUAUCAACAUGUAUAGCCCCAAGCAUUCUUCAGCUGUCCACUUCCUGCAGCUCAAAACUAGAAAAUGCAUUCACAAAAAGUCCAGUGUGAUGACUCUGACUUUAAAAAAGAGAAUUCACAAAAAAGGUUUCUCUUGUACAAUUUCUCAUUGAAAACCGCCUCAUGAUAUUUGGAAAAGACAUCACUUUCCUCUUUGGGAAGAACUCAGAGUUGUGAUAAUAGCCAGAAGGCUUUAGUGAAAACAGAGCAACCUCUUUAAUCCAAGCCAGUGAGAGUCAUGGUGGUUUACAA
RNAcentral lists this long non-coding RNA (1174 nucleotides) under Homo sapiens (human). Its description in RNAcentral is "non-protein coding lnc-ITFG1-1:1". The record is from RNAcentral. Lineage: Eukaryota; Metazoa; Chordata; Mammalia; Primates; Hominidae.